Molecule: ribosomal RNA, 253 nt
Filed under: uncultured bacterium
Lineage: Bacteria
Description: partial 16S ribosomal RNA
Rfam family: Bacterial small subunit ribosomal RNA
Source: RNAcentral
UACGAAGGGGGCUAGCGUUGCUCGGAAUCACUGGGCGUAAAGGGUGCGUAGGCGGGUCUUUAAGUCGGGUGUGAAAUCCCUGGGCUCAACCCAGGAAGUGCACUCGAAACUGGCGAGCUUGAGUACUGAAGAGGGUCGCGGAAUUCCCGGUGUAGAGGUGAAAUUCGUAGAUAUCGGGAGGAACACCAGUGGCGAAGGCGGCGACCUGGGCAGAUACUGACACUGAGGUGCGAAAGCGUGGGGAGCAAACAGG